RNAcentral lists this ribosomal RNA (253 nucleotides) under uncultured bacterium. RNAcentral describes it as "partial 16S ribosomal RNA". It matches the Rfam family "Bacterial small subunit ribosomal RNA", at positions 524 to 776 of the family's 1533-position model. The record is from RNAcentral.
UACAGAGGGUGCGAGCGUUGUCCGGAAUCACUGGGCGUAAAGGGCGCGUAGGUGGCGAUCCAAGUCCAUGGUGAAAGCUCGAUGCUCAACAUCGAGUCGGCCACGGAUACUGGGUUGCUUGAGCACUGUAGGGGCAGAUGGAAUUCCGGGUGUAGCGGUGGAAUGCGUAGAGAUCCGGAAGAACACCGGUGGCGAAGGCGGUUAGCUGGGCAGUUGCUGACACUGAGGCGCGACAGCGUGGGGAGCAAACAGG